UCCUAUCUCAGUUGUAAACACUGCCUGGCU
This 30-nucleotide non-coding RNA is filed under the name Mus musculus (house mouse). The record is from RNAcentral. Lineage: Eukaryota; Metazoa; Chordata; Mammalia; Rodentia; Muridae.